This is a non-coding RNA of Monodelphis domestica (gray short-tailed opossum), 1827 nucleotides long. The record is from RefSeq and is a predicted model, not a curated record. NCBI's taxonomy places the organism in Eukaryota, Metazoa, Chordata, Mammalia, Didelphimorphia, Didelphidae.
AGUGGGGAAAGUCUUGAGGCAUGAAGGCCAAUUAGGCAGCUGUUGCAAUAAUAUAAGCAAGAGGUAACAAGUGCCUGAAUUAAAGUGGUGACUCUGGGAGAAGAGAAAAAGAAGGGUCAGAAUCCAGAGAUGGUAUGGCGAUAGAAACAGCAGAAUUUGGCAAUGUCGCAAAUGUGGAGUAAGGGGAAAGGAGGAAGCUAGGAUGAUGGCAUGAGGAUACAAACCAAGGAGAGGGGAACAGUGGUGGUAUUUUGAUCAGAGGAAGGGAAGUUUGGAAGAGUACCAGGUUUGUGGGUAAAGACCCUGAUUUCUGCUUUAGAUCUUGUGAGGCUGAACUAUCUGGCAUUUUCAUACUGAAGUGUUCAUAAUGUAAUCCAGGAUGUGGAAACUCAGGGAAGACCAUGGGGCUGGAUAUACAGACCUGUGAAUCUCCUGCAUGAAGAAGCAGAAGCAAAUGAUUAUGUGUCAGAGCUGAUUAGAGAGAGUGGAGGAGGAGGGUUUAGAACAAAGCCUCGCAGAACACCUACAGUUGGGACCAUGAUAGUUGGAUUAUGAGCCAGCAAAGAAGACAGAAGUUAGACAGCUAGGAGAACUAAGGGGCAGUAGCAUGUGUGUCUCUGUGCGUAUUUGUGGGGGAGUCUCAACAGUGUCAAAUAUAGCAGACAGGUUGAGGAGGACUGAAAAAAGUACUAUGGAGACAUGGAAACAUGAGGGUUGUUGGUAACUUUGGAGAGAGCAUUUUAAAUUGAGUGAUAGAUAGUCAGAAGCCAGAUUGCAAAUGGAUGAGUGAGAGGAGAAGAAAUAGAGAUGAUGAAUAUAGAAAACUUUUUUUCCAGGACUUUGGCUGAGGAAAAGGAGAAGAGAUAUUGGAUAUAGUGUGAGGGGAUGAGGUCUAGAUCACAUUUUUAAAAGAGUGGGGCAAAGUUGGGCAAUUCUGAAGGCAAUACAGAAGGGAGCAAGAGAUAGGGAGAGGUUCAGAUUAGAGAGAGAGGAGAAUGGUUGAUGUAAUCUGCCGGAGAAGUUGGGAGUAUGUGGGAACAUGGCUAUGUGGAGAAAAGAAGCUGACCUUGGCAAGGUCAAAGACUAUUUUGUGGUUAGAGACUAGGGGAAAGUGGGAGAGAGUUUGGGCUUGAGACAAGGAACUCUGAGAUGAAAAGGAAGGAGCUCACAAUAUUUGACCUUCAUUUUCUCAGUAAAGUAGGAGAUAAUAUCCUCAGCUUAGAGAGAAGAUAGAAGGGGAACUGUGGGAGACUUGAGAAAGGGAAAAAAAGGUUUUGAAUAGCUUUUGUAGGGAACUAAAAUCACUUAAAAAAGGAAUAAAAUUAUUUCCUUAUUACAGGGAGGGCCCAGUUGAAGCAAGAUGAUAUGAAUUUGCAUGUUCACGGUUAAUAUGAUCGUGGGACUUCCUCCAAAGGUGUUGACCAGCAGAAAAAACCAUAACCAAGUUCAUUUGGAAGAACAAAAGAUCAAGGAUAUCCAUGGAAAUCAUGAAAAAAAAAUGUGAAGGAAGGAGGCCUUGCGGUCCCAGAUCUCAAAUUAUACUAUAAAGCAGUGGUUAUCAAAACAAUUUGCUACUGGCUAAGAGACAGAAAGGAAGAUCAGUGGAAUAUACUUGGGAUUUCUUGAAGAUGAAGAUGAAGCCUGUCCAACCACUUUCAUAUACAGGCAUACUUCAGAGAUAUUGACGGUUCAGUUUCAGAUACCUGAAAAUGGCAAACAUUGCAGUAAAAUUGGAUCAAUGAAGGCUGAGAGAUAGUGAAGAAUCUAGAAUGAAUCUUGCCAGCAUGAGGGACUUGGAGGAUGAUGCUGCCCAAUAAAAGAAGAGAU